UUUGAACCAAAGUAAAAUUGCAUGAAUCUUCUUUGUGUGCUGUCAGGUUUUUUGAAAAUACUUUAUUUUUUACAUUAUUCAAAACACCUCUCAUAAAAAUACUGGAUAUCUUCCCUUUCUCUCUCACUUUUUCUUUAUUUCCUUUGCUCCAUUUUCUACGUUUGUCUUUGUUAAACAAGACAUAAGAAAUAAGGAGAUAAACAGAGAAGAAAAGGGUGUGAUGAUAGGGUGGAGGUGGGCGUUGAGUCCGAUUUGGAGGGAUGAAAAGAGGAGAGAUAGGGGGAAAGGAGAGGAGAGGAGGGGUGGCAACAAUCUGUGCUGGUUAACUUCUCCCCGUUGACCCUGCAGAAGGGGCCACGGCUCCCUCCAUCUGCCUGAAAUAAUCUCUCACAAACACACACUCAGGGGUGCAUGCACACACACCUUAACAAAUGGCAAAAAAAAGGAUUAAUGAUAUUCCAACACUUACACACAAUCAGCCAGAAUCCAUCACUCCAGUUUCUGCAGGGGCCCAGGCGUGCCAGUAUGUGCGUGUGUGGGUAUCUCACUUUGAAGAUCGAAAGUGUUUGAGUGUGUCUGCAAGUGUCUGUGUAUUACGUGGGUGUGUGUCAUGUCUGGGGCACCAUAUGUUCCCCACAAAUUUGUUUUCACCCCUAAAAAAGCCUAUCCAUAUGCAUAUUAAGCAGCUUUAAUUAAGAUCUCCUCUACCCACAUGCAUACAGUACACAGAUGCACAAACACACACACGCACACACUUCCUGGGAGAGGUAGUGUGAUUUCCGAACAUCUCAUUGCUAGUGAGAACACUUGAGAAACAAGUUAAUUGACGUUGACUAUUCAUAUAUACAGAGUGUGUUGGCUGGGCUGUGGGCAGAUGGUGUUUGUAAGCCCCCAUAUAAACCAGCAGUCAAAAAAAGAGUAAAAUGCUGCCUCAGUCUUGUUCUUAAGUGCCUCAACAACCACACGAGACUGACAGUGAGCGAUCCAUCACUCCCAUCAGAGCUGAGUAGUGGUUCUGAUCAGAUGCUCAGGACCCAUAUGAGCACUGCUAAUUUUCUGUUAAUCUGUAAGGUUGUUGAUUGCAGUUAUUUUGUGUCAUUGAUUGAAAAAUAGCCAGACAGGCCUCUGGUUCAGACAGGACGGACAGGAAUACUAAACUAACUCCUUUCUCAAAUGCUUGUCUAUGAGUCUGACCAAGCCUGCCAGAUUGCCAGCUGUUGAAGCUAACUGCAUAGAGCAACUUCUGGGGAAACUUGCCAGCUUACCAACUACCUGCCUAUUAAAGAUGAAGUGGGUGCUCUACUCCUCCAGAGUCCGCCAUGUGGAACCAUCAUGUUUCUUCAGUUGCCCAGAACGAACAACCAAACACUGGCUCUGGAUACGGUCUUUCGCAUUUUCCCACUAUAAUUUCUCCAUUGUGCUUGGUUGGUAAAGGGAUUUCAGUUUUUUUCUAAUGUGCAAUGUCACCACUCGAUGCCUAAUCCUCCACACUGGUCCUUUAACUGGCAGAACAAUGUAUAUUGGGGCAAGCAGCACAAGCCACCUAAAGCUUAAAAUAAACAUUUCAAAUGCCUGUUUCUCAGUGCGACCAAAAGUAAAUAGAAACUAUAUAGGAAACUACACCCAGGGCAACUUGUGAGCUAACCAAAUAAACUUCUUGUUCUGGCAAAACAAUGUUUAUCAGGACAAAGAUGCACAUAAUUUCUAAUGCUCUCUCAGUCCGACCAAAAGUAAAUAACUAUAAUAGUAGAAGCCCACUACAUCAGCUAUUGUAGCUAAUGUAGCCAACCCUGAUAAUGGAUUGACCCUUCAGGUGACUCUAAAUAGUGAUGUGUGAAAUCUAAAUCUAUACCAACGUCUUGUAAAUGUGUACCAGCAUUGGGUAGUAAUACUGCAGAUGUGGAAUAAAUCUGCUGUUACCAUAAGGCUGACAGGCUUCAGGAGACCGAUGUGCUGCUGCGUUGCACUUCCUAUCUGUGCUAGGGGCAGCGCUCAACACGCCACAGCCCUGCGGCUGCCGUAUGUUUUAGCCUUCAUGCUACAGAUGAAACAAUAAUAUUAAAUGUGUUAUGUGUUAUUUCUGUGGAUGAAUACGUAGCUGGUUUAGUUAGCAUGGAAGCUGCCCCAGAACUAGAAUUUAGCUAGCUAAUCCAAGUUCAUCUGGAAAGCUUAUGGAGGCUCACACUGUCUACAGAUACACGUUAUUUUUCCAGAGUCUUCGUCUCCCAAAUCUCUACAACUGAGGUGGCGAGUGCAAUGUUAGCGCAGCCUAUAUUCAGAAUGGAUAACAGCUAGGUUGAAAAUGACACAAAUGUGCUUUAAAGAUGUAACUGAAAGAACAUUUUCUGUCAUUUUGUCUAUUUCCUUGCACAGUUUAAACCAAAGUGUUUGCAAUUUCACACUGGACUUUUUGAGGCAAGUUUAUUUUGAAUAAAUGAUGACACACAAGAGCACAAACCUUGCCUGAGGGACAGUUGCUCCAGUGUUGGUAACAAAAAUGCUAAUCAUAACAUCACAAUUGAUGUUUAAUGUGGUAAUCCUCAGUCCUCAGGUUUCUGUUUUACGAUUAUGGGAUCUUUAAUAUGAGAUCAUUGCUGUUGUCAAUGGUGUAUUUUUUCCAACCUUUCACAGAGGAUCCCAUUUUCUAUACCUCCUUCAGGGUCAGAGGGAGCUUAUGAUUAUCCCAGCAUGCACUGUGUGAGAGGACACUGGUACACUUCAAACAAGUUGCCACUCCAUCACAGAGCUAACACACAGGUGAGAAACACAUUCAUUCCCACACCUACAGGCAACAGAGUUUCCACUUAACCACACCGGCAUGUCUCUGGACUGCGGGAGGAAACAGGAGCACCCAGAGUACCACCCAUAGGGAGUACAGCACACUCCACAGAGGAAGGACCAGGACUCAAACCAGGAUCAAUAUGCGAUUGAUUUUUUUGAACAUUUUUGCUCUAAGAGAAACGACUGUGCCACCAACAAACUUAUAGCAUUUCUUUUAGGUUCAUCUCACAUGUGAGAACUUCAGUAGUACAUUUUUUUGUGUGUUUUUUUAUUUAAAAUAUACCAUAAAAACUGGUUAUACUCUCACUCCAUUGAAAUUAUUUCCCGCUUUUGCGAUGUGAUAUUUCAUGUCAUUUUAAUGUACAAACAAAAUCUUCUGACACAUCUGGACAGUACUAUGGAUGCAAAUCAGAAUUCUGAUAUUUUUACAGUAAAAACAGCCACUGUAAAGUUCUUUGAUAGUCUUCAUUAACGCUUAACUGCUUAUUAAGUGUGUUGAUUCAGAGUUCAGCCUCUCACUUUAAUGAAUGGGAACAUACAUCAUAUAUGCACGGUCGUAAAGGGCACACUGUGAUAAUGAUGGCAGGACUCAGAGGGGGUGUAGUGAACAACGGCGUCUCCACCAGCCUUGAAAAUGGCUAUGGCACCCCCAAAUCACACAUUUCUGUCUCCGACGGGGAGGCUGUCACCAUGGCGAUGCAGCUUUUUGGGUUUGCGGGGUGAUAACAAGGUGGAGAUGUGCUUAAAGAGGGAGGGGGGUGAGGGAGAUGGGGAUGGUUGUGCACAGAGGGAGGUAGAGAGAUAAACUAAAAAUGCUGCUGCCAAGGUAUUUUAAACCCCAGGGGAGCCUCUGCUUCGGACAAAAGAAGAAAUACAUGAAGGAAUCAUGCACACACACACACACACACACACACACACACACAACGUUAUGACUGAACACCGAGUAGUGAGGUCCCUACAUUCAAAGCUUUUAUUUUUAAUGCACACCAUAACUAGACUCUGAAGGAUGAAUUCCAUUUAAUAAUAAUUUCAACCUGGGCUGUAUUUUGUUCAUUUUUUUGAUCAAUAAUAAUUACGUUAACAUUUUUUCAUUUGCUAGAGGAGUUUUACACACCUUCACAGCAAGGUUGAUUGGAUCCCAGGCAAUGAUUUUCAAUUCUUUGGACUGCCACUGGUGGAUUCUUGCUCUACAAUUUUGUGACACAAUGUACAGAUCACCUAGCAACAAGUCAAUCCAUCCCAAAAAAAUAUUGCUAUUAAUUUGCACCAGCUUCAGGCUCCAUGAUUCAGAGUUUGGUGUUGGCAGGUCGCAUCGCAGUGUGGAUGUUCCUGUGCUGAAAGAUGAGUUUUAAAUAAGUUUUGGUUUAAACAGUUCUUCUGUUGCGGUUUGGUAAUUAGUGUUGUGGAAAACUAAAACUAUGGAAAGGGAGGGAUGACAUUUUCAGCACAGCCAUAAUGAUGGGAAAAAACUGGGAAACUAAAUCCCAGGAUGAAAGUAAUAUUUUUCAAUUUUAUAAUAAACCGAAGAUUUACUAUUUGCAAUAACCUUAAAUCUACACUAAUACAUAUUUUGUAUUUGCAUUUUGUAUGCAUUAUUUCAUGUGUAAUAUUGUUUGUCGGGUCAAUAGAAACGAGAUGGAAGCAAAUGUUAGCUAUAUCAAAUGCAAUAAUAUGUCAAACAUAUGUGUAAUUUUCUUUUUUACUUGUUAUGGGGUUUAGCUUGCUGUCCUGAAAUGGCAUAAUAAUAAUAAUAAUAAUAAUAAUAAUAAUAAUAAUAAUAAAAAUAGUGCUUCACAUCAUUGUCAAAUAAGACACAUGCUUGCAUUUAUACAUAUACAUUGUAUUAGUUAGUUAUUCAUGCCAAAAUGCUUCACAUAACUCGCAUCCAAUCUUAAUUGCAAAUCCACACCUUAAAGGUCCAGUGUGUAACAUUUAGAAGGAUCUAUUGGCAGAAAUGGAAUAUAAUAUUCAUAGGCAUAAUUUCAUUAUAAUCACCAGAAAAACCUUAGAAUGAGCCCUUUUUAUCUACAGAAGGAGCAGGUCCUCUUCUACAGAGUCCGCCAUUUUCAACAGCCAUGUUUCUACAGUAGCCCAGACUGGACAAACCAAACACUGGCUCUAGAUAGGGCCUUUCACGUUUAUAUAGCAACCACACCUCUACAUGCCACUAGACCAUACACACUGGUCUUUUAACCCUAAACUAGUCCUGUUUAAAUGUCUGACCAAAUGCACCCACUACACACAUCUUUCCAUCAUCGUCAGAACAUUUGGUCUUCAUUACGAUAAAUCCACACAUAGCUCUCAGUCUCCUUUCUGAUAGGAUGCAGAUACUAUCUCAAGUCUUGUCUUGGUAAUCAACUUGUCAGUGCAGAGGCAGCAAAGCAACCAGCGGGCCUAUGAACUCUAACACACACAAACACACACACACACACACACACACACACACACACACACACACACACACAGAGUUAAUCAAGAGGGUGACUGGGACAGCGUCCAUGAAAACUGGCCGACAGGAAGUUACAGCCAUGUCACAGGAAAUAGGAUGUGUCUUUUUCCGGGGCUGCAGUAUCCCUGUGAUUAGAGGGAGCAGAUUGAGCUGUCUCUUUGCAUUACACACAUAGAAAACAUACAUGCACAGACAUACACACAUGUGAACACACGAGGACAUAUCCAGGCAGACAUAUAAGGGAAAGGGACAGGAGACAGCAUUACGACAUGAGCCCAAGCACACACACACAUACACACACAGACAUGCAAAUAAACAUGUUGUCUCUUAUUUUCCUCAGUGGAGGGGACUUCCUCUUCUUGGUUUGUUUAGAAAAGCACAGAAGGAAAAGGCUUGGGGAGAGUGGGUGACCAUUUCCUCCUGUUAUGACUACCACUGGUGGACAACAAUUGAGUGAAACACACACAUAUGCAUAGACACGUACACACACGGAAACAUAACUGCAAGGUUGAUACUGUAUAGUGAGACACAGAGCUGUGUGACAUUUCUCCAGUGUGUCCCCACUUAUUUCAAUGACAAGCUGCCUUUACAUCCGAUUGCAUUUUUUAUUUUAAGUGAUGAUGGUGAUGUUAAAUAGGAUUUUGACCUUUUGUGCUUAAAUGAUGUGGGUUGAAAGUACUGAUGCAGUUUGAAUAAACAUUGACAAAUGUUACAUUUAAUAAGAAAAGACAAAUACAUUUUGAAAAAAAUCUUUUUACCCAUUUAUUGCCCAGAAUAAAGGUUGUCAUCCCACCUCA
Molecule: long non-coding RNA, 6027 nt
Organism: Dicentrarchus labrax (European seabass)
Lineage: Eukaryota; Metazoa; Chordata; Actinopteri; Moronidae
Exons: 2
Source: RefSeq, a predicted model, not a curated record